CGAACACGUUUGCUUUUGCGAUUCGAGAGCCCUUUCUGGCGCGGAGCUAGGGGCGGUGUUACGUAGCUGCCCUGAACUGAGAGCAGCGUUGGCCGGGGGCUAGGGAGCCGGGCUGUUCCACGCUCACUGUGCGCCUCGGGCGGCGGGGCUCGGGCUCUGUCCGAGGUGCUGAACUCCGGGGCUCCGGCCGCGCCGGCAGAGUGUGCCAGCGUCCAUUAUUGCCAGUGUCUGUGGGCAUCUUCCAGAAGGCCGAGCAUGGGGGUCAGGUGAAACCAGGGCGCUCCCAAGCACCUUGCCCAGUAGAGCCCCCUUGCACCCUGCUUGGUUGGUCAGCACCCCAUGGACAUGCAGCCUUGACCUUGGCAUGGGAAGCCUCCACUGUGUCAAGCCCAACAUCCAGGCCUCUGAAGACAGUCAUUCAGGGAGAGAGAAGAAACAGAAUGGAAGAAACAUGGAAGGAAG
Molecule: long non-coding RNA, 462 nt
Filed under: Homo sapiens (human)
Lineage: Eukaryota; Metazoa; Chordata; Mammalia; Primates; Hominidae
Description: HSALNT0223274
Source: RNAcentral